This 445-nucleotide ribosomal RNA is filed under the name uncultured bacterium. RNAcentral's name for it is "partial 16S ribosomal RNA". It matches the Rfam family "Bacterial small subunit ribosomal RNA", at positions 354 to 796 of the family's 1533-position model. The record is from RNAcentral.
GUAGGGAAUAUUGGGCAAUGGAUGCAAGUCUGACCCAGCCAUCCCGCGUGCCGGAAGAAGGCCCUCAGGGUUGUAAACGGCUUUUGACGGUGAAGAAUCGACAGGAUGCGUCCUGUUUUGACGGUAGCCGUUGAAUAAGCACCGGCUAACUCCGUGCCAGCAGCCGCGGUAAUACGGAGGGUGCGAGCGGUGUCCGGAUUUAUUGGGUUUAAAGGGUGCGUAGGCUGGAAGGUCAGUCAGCGGUGAAAAGCUGUCGCUUAACGAUAGUCUUGCCGCAGAUACUUCCUUUCUUGGAUGAGGAGGAGGCCACUGGAACGGAUGGUGUAGCGGUGAAAUGCAUAGAUAUCAUCCAGAACACCGAUUGCGAAGGCAGGUGGCUGUACCUUAAUCGACGCUGAUGCACGAAAGCAUGGGGAGCAAACAGGAUUAGAAACCCUUGUAGUCC